Molecule: ribosomal RNA, 489 nt
Filed under: uncultured bacterium
Lineage: Bacteria
Description: partial 16S ribosomal RNA
Rfam family: Bacterial small subunit ribosomal RNA
Source: RNAcentral
GAUGAACGCUAGCUACAGGCUUAACACAUGCAAGUCGAGGGGCAGCAUGAUUGAAGCUUGCUUCAAUCGAUGGCGGCCGGCGCACGGGUGAGUAACACGUAUCCAACCUGCCGAUAACUCGGGGAUAGCCUUUCGAAAGAAAGAUUAAUACCCGAUAGUAUAGUAUUUCCGCAUGGUUUCACUAUUAAAGAACUUCGGUUAUCGAUGGGGAUGCGUUCCAUUAGAUAGUUGGCGGGGUAACGGCCCACCAAGUCAACGAUGGAUAGGGGUUCUGAGAGGAAGGUCCCCCACAUUGGAACUGAGACACGGUCCAAACUCCUACGGGAGGCAGCAGUGAGGAAUAUUGGUCAAUGGACGAGAGUCUGAACCAGCCAAGUAGCGUGAAGGAUGACUGCCCUAUGGGUGGUAAACUUCUUUUAUACGGGAAUAAAGUGGAGUAUGCAUACUCCUUUGUAUGUACCGUAUGAAUAAGGAGCGGCUAACUCCGUG